Molecule: non-coding RNA, 75 nt
Organism: Musa acuminata subsp. malaccensis (wild Malaysian banana)
Lineage: Eukaryota; Viridiplantae; Streptophyta; Magnoliopsida; Zingiberales; Musaceae
Source: Rfam
UCCGAUGAUGGCAUGGAAUCUUUGAGACCUGAGCUUUAUCGUCUUGAUGAAAGCUAUAAGCAAUUUUCUGAGGAU